Molecule: ribosomal RNA, 1130 nt
Filed under: Paraisaria gracilis
Lineage: Eukaryota; Fungi; Ascomycota; Sordariomycetes; Hypocreales; Ophiocordycipitaceae
Description: SSU rRNA
Rfam family: Bacterial small subunit ribosomal RNA
Source: RNAcentral
AAAAGUUGAGUUUGGUGAUGGCUCUGAUUGAAUGCUGUUCAAGUGCUUGACACAUGCUAAUCGUACGUUUUAAUUAUAAAUGGACAAGGGUCCAUCGGGCUUGCUUCCCUAUCAAGUUUGCAAAUAUAAUUAAAAAGUGGUGUACAGGUGAGUAUAUAGAUAUUCUUGGCCGUCCUUAAAGUGAAGGUAAAUCCUUCAUAAUAAAUAAAGGGAGGCGUAUCACCCGCUUUAAGAGGAUAAUAAAUAUCUUCGAGAUAGGUAGUAGUUAAGGUGAUGGCUUAACUAGCCUAAAACUCUCGUAGUCGAAUCUGAAAGGUUGAUCGACCACAUUGGGUCUGAAAAAACCCCAAUGCAAUUUAGUACAGCAGUGAGGAAUAUUGGUCAAUGGCCUAACGGCUGAACUGGCAACUUGAAGAAGCAAGAUAAAUUUUUAGGGUUGAUUCUAUUAUAUUAAUAAAUAUAAUAUUCCCAGGUUGUGUAGUUUAUAUUAGCUUUGUUUAUAUAUAGAUAAUGACAGUAUAUAUAUCCAGUCUUGACUAAUUACGUGCCAGCAGUCGCGGUAAUACGUAAGAGACUAGUAUUAUUCAUCUUAAUUAGGUUUAAAGGGUACCUAGACGGUCAAUAUAGCUUCUAUGAUGUUAGUACUUGACUAGAGUUUUAUGUAAGAGAGUAGUACUUAAGGAGUAGACAUGAAAGUCUGUAAUACCCUAGGGACUCGGUAAAGGCGAAGGCAGCUCUCCAUGUAAAAACUGACGUUGAAGGACGAAGGCUCAGAGCACAAAUAGGAUUAGAUACCCUAGUAGUCUUUGCAGUAAAUGAUGAAUGCCAUAGGUCAGAUUAAUAUUUAAUAAUUUAUGUUUAUCAGUAUGGAACUAAAUAUUAAACAAAUUUUGGUCUAUAAAUGAAAGUGUAAGCAUUUCACCUCAAGAGUAAUGUGGCAACGCAGGAACUGAAAUCACUAGACCGUUUCUAACACCAGUAGUGAAGUAUGUUGUUUAAUUCGAUAAUCCUCGAAAAACCUUACCACAAUUUGUAUAAUAAUAUUACAGGAGUUGCACGGCUGUUUCCAGUUAAUGUUGUGAAACUGUGGUUUCCAUGAAAUUAACGAAAUCCCUGGCUUUAUUUUUUGA